UACGAAGGGGGCUAGCGUUGUUCGGAAUUACUGGGCGUAAAGCGCGCGCAGGCGGCCUUUCAAGUCAGGGGUGAAAUCCCAGAGCUCAACUCUGGAAUUGCCUCUGAGGCUGUGAGGCUUCGAGUACGGGAGAGGUGAGUGGAAUUCCCAGUGUAGAGGUGAAAUUCGUAGAUAUUGGGAAGAACACCGGUGGCGAAGGCGGCUCACUGGCCCGUUACUGACGCUGAGGUGCGAAAGCGUGGGGAGCAAACAGG
This 254-nucleotide ribosomal RNA is filed under the name uncultured bacterium. RNAcentral's name for it is "partial 16S ribosomal RNA". It matches the Rfam family "Bacterial small subunit ribosomal RNA", at positions 524 to 776 of the family's 1533-position model. The record is from RNAcentral.